Molecule: ribosomal RNA, 119 nt
Filed under: Pteropus alecto (black flying fox)
Lineage: Eukaryota; Metazoa; Chordata; Mammalia; Chiroptera; Pteropodidae
Source: RNAcentral
AUCUAUGGCCAUGCCAGCCUGAACGAGCCCGACCCCGUCUGAUCUCGGAAACUAAGCAGAGUCAGGCCUGAUUAGUACUUGGAUGGGAGACCACCUAGGAAGACCAGGUGCUGUAGGUG